Molecule: ribosomal RNA, 253 nt
Filed under: uncultured bacterium
Lineage: Bacteria
Description: partial 16S ribosomal RNA
Rfam family: Bacterial small subunit ribosomal RNA
Source: RNAcentral
UACGAAGGGGGCUAGCGUUGUUCGGAAUUACUGGGCGUAAAGCGCACGUAGGCGGAAUGUUAAGUCAGGGGUGAAAUCCCGGGGCUCAACCCCGGAACUGCCUUUGAUACUGGCAUUCUCGAGUCCGGAAGAGGUGAGUGGAAUUCCGAGUGUAGAGGUGAAAUUCGUAGAUAUUAGGAAGAACACCAGUAGCGAAGGCGGCUCACUGGUCCGGUACUGACGCUGAGGUGCGAAAGCGUGGGGAGCAAACAGG